ACUAAUUACACACACUAACAGAUGGCAUGGGACUACUAUCCAGCGAAAACUUGGAUAGGCCAAAUCGCUUUCAGUCCGAGCAGUGAUAACUUGAAAAAACUACCGAUUUUUGUCAGAACGUACCGAUGUCAUAGGCGUGAGGGAUUGGCUUUGUUCACUUGUCAAGAACGGAAGUUAAAUUUAACCACAACCACACCCCUCGAAUUCUCAGUUGCACUGGGACACUGGGCACAACAAUAGGUACUGUCAACAUAAUUAUGGAGGAGUAGUGGAUGAUGUUGAAUGCCUCCUAGAGCUGCACAGCUCUACUGUACUAUGAGUAUAAUUAUUAUUGGUACCUGGACUUCAGUGAGCAAGGUGCAGGUGCAGGUGCAUGGACGAUGAACAGACUCACAUUGUUACCAAAUGAACCCAGCAACCAUUCACUUGGAUCUAAGAAACAAAGCAACAAAGUUUGCAGCUCUAAAGCAAGUACCCUUGGGAAAGAAAGUGGAGACAAUAAAAUGUAGUGUUCAAGAGAUUAUCAUGGAUAAAGGCACUAAGACAGGCUAAGAAGAAAUUACUGGAAGAAAACGCUCCUGCUGAGUCCAUCUAAUCUCAGCCACAAAGCAGGAGAAAGAGGUACAACAAAUACUCUGAGAAGAUUGUCUUGGUUACAAGAUGCCUGCAUUGUGCCGAUCCGAGUGAAUGGUUGCUGGGUUCAAUGGAAACAGCAAAUGAUGGAAAGUAUAAAUCAUAUACAUGAAUGUGUGCUGGACAGCCCACUUUGUAUGUACGCGUGUAUCUUGGAGAUGUGUUCGACUAGAUGAUGAAGUAAAGUACUGUGCUGACCAAACUACUGACAUGGCACCGCAAUGCUGCUUUUGAAUGCUCGAAACAAUAAUGGGAUGCUAUCGAACAUUAUUUAAUUGCCCUGAAUGGUU
Molecule: long non-coding RNA, 923 nt
Organism: Halichondria panicea
Lineage: Eukaryota; Metazoa; Porifera; Demospongiae; Suberitida; Halichondriidae
Exons: 5
Source: RefSeq, a predicted model, not a curated record